This 653-nucleotide ribosomal RNA is filed under the name uncultured marine eukaryote. RNAcentral describes it as "SSU rRNA". It matches the Rfam family "Eukaryotic small subunit ribosomal RNA", at positions 610 to 1267 of the family's 1831-position model. The record is from RNAcentral.
UUGUUGCGGUUAAAAAGCUCGUAGUUGGAUUUCUGUCGAGGGCGGCCGGUCCGCACUAUGUGCGUGUAUCUGGUUCAGUCUUGGCAUCCUCUUGGGGAUCGUUCGUGUGCUUGAUUGCAUGCGACGGAAUUCAAGACUUUUACUUUGAGGAAAUUAGAGUGUUCACGGCAAGCUAUCGCUUUGAAUACAUUAGCAUGGAAUGAUAAUAUAGGGCGUAAGUUCUAUCUUGUUGGUUCAUAGAAAAUACGCAAUGAUUAAUAGGGAUAAUUGGGGGCACUCGUAUUAACGCGUCAGAGGUGGAAUUCUUAGAUUGCGUUACGACGAACUACUGCGAAAGCAUUUGCCAAGGAUGUUUUCAUUGAUCAAGAACGAAAGUAUGGGGAUCGAAGACGAUUAGAUACCGUCGUAGUCUAUACCAUAAACUAUGCCAACUAGAGAUUGGAGGUCGUUUUAUUUAUGACUCCUUCAGCACCUUAUGAGAAAUCAAAGUUUUUGGGUUCCGGGGGGAGUAUGGUCGCAAGGCUGAAACUUAAAGGAAUUGACGGAAGGGCACCACCAGGAGUGGAGCCUGCGGCUUAAUUUGACUCAACACGGGAAAACUUACCAGGUCCAGACAUAGUAAGGAUUGACAGAUUGAUAGCUCUUUCCUGGAU